Molecule: ribosomal RNA, 253 nt
Filed under: uncultured bacterium
Lineage: Bacteria
Description: partial 16S ribosomal RNA
Rfam family: Bacterial small subunit ribosomal RNA
Source: RNAcentral
UACGGAGGGUGCAAGCGUUAUCCGGAUUCAUUGGGCGUAAAGGGCUCGUAGGCGGUCUGUUGCGUCAGGAGUGAAAACUCGGGGCUUAACCCCGAGCCUGCUUCUGAUACGGGCAGACUAGAGGUAUGCAGGGGAGAACGGAAUUCCUGGUGUAGCGGUGAAAUGCGCAGAUAUCAGGAGGAACACCGGUGGCGAAGGCGGAUCUCUGGGCCAUUACUGACGCUGAGGAGCGAAAGCGUGGGGAGCGAACAGG